GAGGAAUAUUGGUCAAUGGACGAGAGUCUGAACCAGCCAAGUAGCGUGAAGGAUGACUGCCCUAUGGGUUGUAAACUUCUUUUAUACGGGAAUAAAGUUAGCCACGUGUGGCUUUUUGUAUGUACCGUAUGAAUAAGGAUCGGCUAACUCCGUGCCAGCAGCCGCGGUAAUACGGAGGAUCCGAGCGUUAUCCGGAUUUAUUGGGUUUAAAGGGAGCGUAGGCGGGUUGUUAAGUCAGUUGUGAAAGUUUGCAGCUCAACCGUAAAAUUGCAGUUGAUACUGGCGACCUUGAGUGCAACAGAGGUAGGCGGAAUUCGUGGUGUAGCGGUGAAAUGCUUAGAUAUCACGAAGAACUCCGAUUGCGAAGGCAGCUUACUGGAUUGUAACUGACGCUGAUGCUCGAAAGUGUGGGUAUCAAACAGGAUUAGAUACCCUGGUAGUCCACACAGUAAACGAUGAAUACUCGCUGUUGGCGAUAUACGGUCAGCGGCCAAGCGAAAGCAUUAAGUAUUCCACCUGGGGAGUACGCCGGCAACGGUGAAACUCAAAGGAAUUGACGGGGGCCCGCACAAGCGGAGGAACAUGUGGUUUAAUUCGAUGAUACGCGAGGAACCUUACCCGGGCUUAAAUUGCAACUGACUGAACCGGAAACGGUUCCUUCUUCGGACAGUUGUGAAGGUGCUGCAUGGUUGUCGUCAGCUCGUGCCGUGAGGUGUCGGCUUAAGUGCCAUAACGAGCGCAACCCUUAUCGAUAGUUACUAGCAGGUCAUGCUGAGGACUCUAUUGAGACUGCCGUCGUAAGAUGUGAGGAAGGUGGGGAUGACGUCAAAUCAGCACGGCCCUUACGUCCGGGGCUACACACGUGUUACAAUGGGGGGUACAGAAGGCAGCUACACGGCGACGUGGUGCUAAUCCCGAAAGCCUCUCUCAGUUCGGAUUGGAGUCUGCAACCCGACUCCAUGAAGCUGGAUUCGCUAGUAAUCGCGCAUCAGCCACGGCGCGGUGAAUACGUUCCCG
RNAcentral lists this ribosomal RNA (1017 nucleotides) under uncultured organism. RNAcentral's name for it is "bacterial SSU rRNA". It matches the Rfam family "Bacterial small subunit ribosomal RNA", at positions 356 to 1376 of the family's 1533-position model. The record is from RNAcentral.